Non-coding RNA from Mycena galericulata, 98 nucleotides. The record is from the annotation of a GenBank genome assembly. NCBI's taxonomy places the organism in Eukaryota, Fungi, Basidiomycota, Agaricomycetes, Agaricales, Mycenaceae.
GACCCAGUGGCGGGUGGUACCGCGCCUGUAUCUCGUAGCUUGCUUCGCUAAAUAAAUGUAUACCGCGCAGGUUCCUGGUUCGAAUCCAGGCUGGGUCG